This 89-nucleotide microRNA precursor is filed under the name Medicago truncatula (barrel medic). RNAcentral's name for it is "miR5229a stem-loop (mtr-MIR5229a)". It matches the Rfam family "MIR5229 microRNA precursor family". The record is from miRBase by way of RNAcentral. Lineage: Eukaryota; Viridiplantae; Streptophyta; Magnoliopsida; Fabales; Fabaceae.
CUUUUUUUGUUUAGCAGGAAGAGUGACUAUGGAGGCUGACAAAAGGGUUGGUCACGUUAGUCACUCUUCCUGUUAACCAAUUAAAUAAG